Non-coding RNA from Ameiurus melas (black bullhead), 83 nucleotides. The record is from the annotation of a GenBank genome assembly. NCBI's taxonomy places the organism in Eukaryota, Metazoa, Chordata, Actinopteri, Siluriformes, Ictaluridae.
GGCACAGGGUGGCUUAGUGGUUAGCACGUUCGCCUGUUCGCCUCACACCUCCAGGGUCCCGGGUUCGAUUCCCGCCUAUGCCA